This 974-nucleotide long non-coding RNA is filed under the name Callithrix jacchus (white-tufted-ear marmoset). Its description in RNAcentral is "lncRNA (ENSCJAG00000077447.1)". Lineage: Eukaryota; Metazoa; Chordata; Mammalia; Primates; Cebidae. The record is from RNAcentral.
GAUAAUCUUUUUCCACAGUGAUAGAUAGCUGGUCACUGAUGGUCAUGCGGAAACCUGAGCAAACAUCUUUCGUUAAAGGAUACUCUUAGGCACAUAAGGAAGAGGCCAUUUGAGCCCUCGACGAGAAGGCUGCCAUCUCCUGGCCAAGAGAAUUGGUCUCAGAAUGAAACCACCUUGCUGCCACCUUGAUUUUGGACUUCCAGCUUACAGAACUGGCACCCCAAGAGAAACAAUCUCAGCCCAUCAACUUGCUGAUGCUACAGUUCCUCUGGGAGAGGUGAGGAUGUUCUCAAAGAAGGCAAGAGUACUCAUUAUUGUAAAGGUAAAAUAUGAUUUAAAAGACUUGUGAGAAAAGUUGUUUUCUAGAAGCACAACAAACAUCACGAGGAAGCCAUGCUGCUUAUCUGCAAUCUUUGCUUUGAUAUUUCUGCGUUGGAUUAGACUUUGAUAUUUGGAAAUCAGAUCAUUGUUGGAGCAGUGGUGUUCUUAAUGAGAAAAACAACCAUCUAAAGCGAAUGGUGUUUAGAUGUUAAAUGGUGGAGAGGAAAGGCUGUAAAUGUUAAGAGGUGAGUUAGGAGAGCAUGAAGGAACUCUGGCUUGGAGCCAAUUAGAAUAGGACUGAGAGAAGUAGUGGAUAAUAUGAUAGAUGUUGAGUAACAGCUUGCAGACAAGGUUCACUAAAAACCUGUCAAAAGGAACCCUUCCAAAUACCACGAUAGACUCAAGGCAGAGGACAUCUUUGCAUUGUUUAAUUAUGAUAUAUUUCUUAAUUAUAGAAAAUUACAGAGAAACUUCACAAGGAGGAUCUUUCAAAAAAUGCUAAUCUAAGUCAUUAAUUUGAAUAUUUACAAUAGAAAAUUAUUCAAUUAGGCUACUAUAGUUCUUUUUCAGUAGAAAUCAGUGAUAGUAUGAUCAAGAAGACUUUUGUCCAGGAUGGAAUGUCCUGCUGAAUCUAUUAUGCAUUACUGUAUUUC